CAGCAGCCGCGGUAAUACCGGCGGCCCGAGUGGCGGUCACUAUUAUUGGGCUUAAAGCGUCCGUAGCCGGGUUGGGAAGUCCUCCGGGAAAUCUGGCCGCUUAACGGUCAGAAUGCCGGAGGAUACUCCCAGCCUAGGGAGCGGGAGAGGCCGAGGGGAUUCCCGGGGUAGGGGUGGAAUCCUAUAAUCCCGGGAGGACCACCUGUGGCGAAGGCGCUCGGCUGGAACGCGUCCGACGGUGAGGGACGAAGGCCAGGGGAGCAAACCGGAUUAGAUACCCGGGUAGUCCUGGCUGUAAACGAUGCGGACUUUGUGGCGGACAAGCUAUGAGCUUGUCCGGUGCCGGAGGGAAACCGUUAAGUCCGCCGCCUGGGGAGUACGGCCGCAAGGCUGAAACUUAAAGGAAUUGGCGGG
This 414-nucleotide ribosomal RNA is filed under the name uncultured microorganism. Its description in RNAcentral is "bacterial SSU rRNA". It matches the Rfam family "Archaeal small subunit ribosomal RNA", at positions 459 to 872 of the family's 1478-position model. The record is from RNAcentral.